AUAUAUAUAUAUAUAUAUAUAUAUAUAUAUAUAUAUAUAUAUAUAUAUAUUAUUUUUUCAUUACAUGUUGGGUUUUUAGAUUUUAAUAGUGCUGUCAGGUGAUUAAAACUAUCCAGUUAAUUACAUUUAAUCACAUUCAUCCUUAAAGCAUUCUAAACUGUACAAUUUAAAUGAAUUUUGGCUGAGGAGCAAAUGAAUGAAUGAAUAACUGGCAUAGACUUUAAACUCCCUGUAAUGAAUAUCAGUCAGUAAAAACAUGCUGUAUAUACUGUAUAUCUCCUAGAACACUAGACAUUUUUUAUAGAUGAACCUUUAUUUUCCUAAAAAUUACAAAACAAUUUAAAGAAGACAGUCACACAUACCAGAGGUUAUUUUAGGAGAUUCUAGAAUCCUCAAAAUUGUCUUAUGUUUUAAAACAUUUUAAAUGUGUUGCUCUGUAAAAAUAAAAUAUACCAGCCCUGAUUAAAAUGCUUAAAAGUAAGAUGCACAUAUUAACAGAAUUUACAUAUUUUACCAUAUCAAAAGUUUAUUUAGGAAAGCCCGAUAAAAGUCCUAAUAAAAUCAAAUAUUCCAAAAAAUGUUUUAGGCUAUACAUUCACUGAUUUUUUAUGCUUUUAUUAUGCUUUUAUUAUGAAACAAAAAAUGUUGAAUUAGUCUAUCAGCUAACUGGCGAGGAUAACUGAUUUUAAAGGUGAAUGAAUAGCUGUUUUUUUAUUAUAAGAAUAAUGUUACUGUGCUGGUUAGAUAUGGUAUAGUUCUGUUGUUUGAUAUAAUAUGUGUAUUAGAUUUUGCAAUUGUUUAUAUCUGAAUUCCGCUUUUAUUUUGCUUGCUGUUUUGACCGCGUUUUGGCGUGGGGGCGUGGUCAAGACGGACAGCGGGGUUACGGAGGAUCAGGUUCAGCUGUGCGCUACCCGCUACCUCAACCAGCUGCAUGAGGAUGCUAACCCGGCUAAAGCGCAGGUAUUAAUGCCGCUAAUACUUUAUUUUACACACAGAUAAUUACUGAAUUACAAAGUAGAGCUGUUUCAACUACUGAGGGAGCAGUGUUUGCAGUUAUCUGGGACUGUAGUAAGUGGAGAUGACAGAGUUUAACUGGCUAGCUUAGCUUUUCCACUCUAUAGCCAAACGCUUUCCCGCGUUGCGUCAGUAGCGUCUCCUUAAAUUCAUAUUCUCUACAUUUAUAAACCAGAAUAACGCUAACUAACUCCAGAUAUCUAUCUAGGUUAAGUCUCAACCAGCUUCCCUGUUACAGUCCGCCAGCGCCUCACACACACGAAUGUAGCUAGCUAGCUACGCUGGCGUUAGCUUGCAAGCUAAUUUCUCGGCUACAAAUAUAAAUGUAUUUUGGACAGUAGGUGGCCUUUUUUGGCAUAUGUUUGUGUUUCUAAAAUGAAUGUAUUGUUCUAGCUCUCUAUCGCAUUAUGUAACUUAAUUUAUUUUGGUUAAUUAUGUGAAAAUACUGUUUAAUUAAUUUAAAUCCUGUCUCGGCUAAUCUCUUUCUCUCACACUCGCUUCCUUUCUCGACUAACGUCUCUUUUCCCUCUCGGCCUCUCUCUCAGCUAGCGUCUCCCUCUAUUGUAAAACGUUUUUCUUACUCUUUCGGGGCUAGGGUCUCUAUCUCUCGCUCUCUAGGCAAAAAAUAUAAUAUGUGUUUUGGGCAUUAGGUGGUCUUUGAUAUAUUUCUGUUUAAGCUGUGUAAAUAAACAUGUUUUUUGAGUCAUUCUGGUUUGUAAAUACUGUUGUAAAUGUAGAGAAUGUGAAUUUAAGGAGACGCUACAGCCGCAGAGCGGGAAAGCGUUUGUCUGUAGAGUGGAAAAGCUAAGCUAACUUAAACCCUUUUAUCUCCUGUUACUACAGUCCCAUAUAACUGCACACACUGCUCCUCUCAGUAACUGAAACAGCUCUACUCUAUAAUUUAGUAAUUAUCUGUAUGCAAAAUAAAGUAUUAGCGAUAUUGAUACCUGCGCUGGUGAUGUAGCGGCUCCUGGUGAUGACGUGAUCCUCCGUAUCCCGGCUGUCCACAUUGGCCACGCCCACAGACAGAUUCUGGGAAAGGUGGGUUUCUUGCGGCUGGUGCUGGAGGCCUCCAGUUCUUCUCCAGUUGAGCCACUGUCCUCAUCCCCAGGGCUCCUCCUGCUGUGGAGCUGUGGAGAGCGGCCACUGCUUUUUGUUCCUGCCACUAAUGACGCAUCUAAAUCGUUGCUGGUGGGGCUAAGUGAACGAGUGGACUCGGCUGGCUUCAGGCCGCAGGACUGGGUGUGAAUUUCUCCUAGGCUUGCACAUUUCUCCAUACUGUACAGCUUCUUCUGGAACAGCGGACUGUCCCCCAUGCUGCCUCCUGCACCGUUAGGCUUGGAGAGCACAGACCUGCUGCCAAGCGUAUGGGAUGAACGCUGAACCUCACCAUACUGAGACAUGGACAGUGAGGAGUCCGAGUCAGACCGGUUCAGAUCCCUGGAGGGAUGAGAAAAAGGAACUCUGUAUAAGCUUUAACAAAAAUCACUGAAAGAUCAAAGGAUGGUAAAUAUGCUAACACAUCAGUAAAACAUGCAAAACAUAA
Molecule: long non-coding RNA, 2560 nt
Organism: Astyanax mexicanus (Mexican tetra)
Lineage: Eukaryota; Metazoa; Chordata; Actinopteri; Characiformes; Acestrorhamphidae
Exons: 2
Source: RefSeq, a predicted model, not a curated record